This 118-nucleotide ribosomal RNA is filed under the name Scophthalmus maximus (turbot). Lineage: Eukaryota; Metazoa; Chordata; Actinopteri; Pleuronectiformes; Scophthalmidae. The record is from RNAcentral.
GCUUACGGCCACACCGCUGGUUUCACGCCCGAUCGCUUUGAUCUCGGAAGCUAAGAUAGGUUGGGCCUGGUUAGUACUUGGAGGGGAGACCGCCUGGGAAUACCAGGUGCUCUAAGCU